Molecule: long non-coding RNA, 793 nt
Organism: Lolium rigidum
Lineage: Eukaryota; Viridiplantae; Streptophyta; Magnoliopsida; Poales; Poaceae
Exons: 2
Source: RefSeq, a predicted model, not a curated record
UUGCUUAGGCCCCCAUUUUUUUAAUGUGCUUUAUAAUUUAGCAAAGUAACUACAGUAAGUGCAUCAUGACCAAGUAUUCUUCUUUUUAAAGCGCUUUUCAUUCCUAACUAGACUUAGGAACUAAAUCUAUGCUGCAUUCCCUUCAAAAAUAUGCUAUUGUGUUUUUUGUUGUUGGUGUUGUACACAUUAGUAAGAGAUAGUUAGCGUAUAUUUUCUUCAUAUAGAUUUUGAUUCCUAACAGAAUCUGGGCUACUGUCUGCUUCAGAUUGAAUAUGGCACUGUAUUUCUGUUGGUGUUGUCACUAGAAAGUUAUAUUUUUUUACUUCAGAUAUAGUGUUAAGUGAUUCAGGAAUCAAGGGUGAAAAUUACAAGCUGCAAUAUGGAAUGAGGUUGAUGAUCUUAUGAAAGUUACGCAACAACUGGUCAUCAUGGCUACAAGGGAUGACGUCUCUUCCCGUCUUCCGCCGUCACACCCUAUAUAUGAGCACAAAGAUAGCUUGGAAAGCAUAAUUCCAUCCUCCUUGACUUUGAGGCCAACCAUUCUCAAAGUGAGAUCCACGUCUUCGACUUCAACAUAGAUUAUGAGGUGUUAUCAUCGUUACCUAGAUUGAGAUUGCUACCUUGUUGUAGGUAGAGAACUUAGUCCUCAUCGUGUCAUUUAUGUUUGUAGUUCCAUAGUAGACUAUGCAGGAAGUGAUGAACACCUCUGUUGUGAACCUGAGUACUACCUUGUGUGUAUAUACCUACUGUUAUCUCAAAACCAUGUGUAUAUACUUACCGUUAUCUUUGUCAA